RNAcentral lists this ribosomal RNA (298 nucleotides) under uncultured eukaryote. RNAcentral describes it as "partial 18S ribosomal RNA". It matches the Rfam family "Eukaryotic small subunit ribosomal RNA", at positions 1470 to 1796 of the family's 1831-position model. The record is from RNAcentral.
CCCUUAGACACUCUAGGCGGCACGCGCGCUACAAUGGGUGGAAGAACGUGUUACUGCCUCCGAAAGGAGGGGUGAAUCACGAAUUAUUGCCCGUGAAUGGGAUAGUUUGUUGCAAUUUUCGGACUUGAACUAGGAAUCCCUUGUAAACAUGCUCAAGAAUAGCGUGUUGAAUACGUCCCUGCCGUUUGUACACACCGCCCGUCGUUUCUUCCGACUGAUACUCAUUGUGAGUUGCAAGGACCCUUUAUUGGGAAAUUGCUGCAAAUGCUUUGUAUUGGAGGAAGAAAAAGUCGUAACA